UGGGGAAUUUUGGACAAUGGGGGAAACCCUGAUCCAGCCAUCCCGCGUGUGCGAUGAAGGCCUUCGGGUUGUAAAGCACUUUUGGCAGGAAAGAAACGUCGCGGGUUAAUACCCCGCGAAACUGACGGUACCUGCAGAAUAAGCACCGGCUAACUACGUGCCAGCAGCCGCGGUAAUACGUAGGGUGCAAGCGUUAAUCGGAAUUACUGGGCGUAAAGCGUGCGCAGGCGGUUCGGAAAGAAAGAUGUGAAAUCCCAGAGCUUAACUUUGGAACUGCAUUUUUAACUACCGGGCUAGAGUAUGUCAGAGGGAGGUGGAAUUCCGCGUGUAGCAGUGAAAUGCGUAGAUAUGCGGAGGAACACCGAUGGCGAAGGCAGCCUCCUGGGAUAACACUGACGCUCAUGCACGAAAGCGUGGGGAGCAAACAGGAUUAGAUACCCUGGUAGUCCACGCCCUAAACGAUGUCAACUAGCUGUUGGGGCCUUCGGGCCUUGGUAGCGCAGCUAACGCGUGAAGUUGACCGCCUGGGGAGUACGGUCGCAAGAUUAAAACUUAAAUGAAUUGACGGGGUCAUAGCUG
RNAcentral lists this ribosomal RNA (579 nucleotides) under uncultured bacterium. RNAcentral describes it as "partial 16S ribosomal RNA". It matches the Rfam family "Bacterial small subunit ribosomal RNA", at positions 355 to 932 of the family's 1533-position model. The record is from RNAcentral.